RNAcentral lists this ribosomal RNA (264 nucleotides) under uncultured archaeon. RNAcentral's name for it is "partial 16S ribosomal RNA". It matches the Rfam family "Archaeal small subunit ribosomal RNA", at positions 717 to 982 of the family's 1478-position model. The record is from RNAcentral.
ACACGACUACAUUAGAUACCCGCGUAGUCCCAGCCCUAAACGAUGCGCGUUAGGUGUAUCGGUGACCACGAGUCACCGAGGUGCCGAAGGGAAACCGUGAAACGUGCCGCCUGGGAAGUACGGUCGCAAGGCUGAAACUUAAAGGAAUUGCGGGGGAGCACCACAACGGGUGGAGCCUGCGGUUUAACUGGACUCAACGCCGGGAAGCUCACCGGAUAAGACAGCGGAAUGAUUGCCGGGCUGAAGACCCUGCAUGACCAGCUG